Molecule: ribosomal RNA, 465 nt
Filed under: uncultured bacterium
Lineage: Bacteria
Description: partial 16S ribosomal RNA
Rfam family: Bacterial small subunit ribosomal RNA
Source: RNAcentral
GACGAACGCUGGCGGCGUGCUUAACACAUGCAAGUCGUACGGUAAGGCCCUUUCGGGGGUCCACGAGUGGCGAACGGGUGAGUAACACGUGAGUAACCUGCCCACAACUUUGGGAUAACGCUAGGAAACUGGUGCUAAUACUGGAUAUGUGCUCCUGCUGCAUGGUGGGGGUUGGAAAGCUCCGGCGGUUGUGGAUGGACUCGCGGCCUAUCAGCUUGUUGGUGGGGUAGUGGCCUACCAAGGCGGCGACGGGUAGCCGGCCUGAGAGGGUGACCGGCCACAUUGGGACUGAGAUACGGCCCAGACUCCUACGGGAGGCAGCAGUGGGGAAUAUUGCACAAUGGGCGCAAGCCUGAUGCAGCAACGCCGCGUGCGGGAUGACGGCCUUCGGGUUGUAAACCGCUUUCAGCAGGGACGAAGCUUUUUGUGACGGUACCUGCAGAAGAAGCACCGGCUAACUACAUG